RNAcentral lists this ribosomal RNA (559 nucleotides) under Penicillium soppii. Its description in RNAcentral is "eukaryotic LSU rRNA". It matches the Rfam family "Eukaryotic large subunit ribosomal RNA", at positions 85 to 657 of the family's 3401-position model. Lineage: Eukaryota; Fungi; Ascomycota; Eurotiomycetes; Eurotiales; Aspergillaceae. The record is from RNAcentral.
UACGGCGAGUGAAGCGGCAAGAGCUCAAAUUUGAAAGCUGGCUCCUUCGGGGUCCGCAUUGUAAUUUGCAGAGGAUGCUUCGGGAGCGGUCCCCAUCUAAGUGCCCUGGAACGGGACGUCAUAGAGGGUGAGAAUCCCGUAUGGGAUGGGGUGUCCGCGCCCGUGUGAAGCUCCUUCGACGAGUCGAGUUGUUUGGGAAUGCAGCUCUAAAUGGGUGGUAAAUUUCAUCUAAAGCUAAAUAUUGGCCGGAGACCGAUAGCGCACAAGUAGAGUGAUCGAAAGAUGAAAAGCACUUUGAAAAGAGAGUUAAAAAGCACGUGAAAUUGUUGAAAGGGAAGCGCUUGCGACCAGACUCGCUCGUGGGGUUCAGCCGGCAUUCGUGCCGGUGUACUUCCCCGCGAGCGGGCCAGCGUCGGUUUGGGCGGUCGGUCAAAGGCCCUCGGAAGGUAACGCCCCCUCGGGGGCGUCUUAUAGCCGAGGGUGCAAUGCGACCUGCCUGGACCGAGGAACGCGCUUCGGCUCGGACGCUGGCAUAAUGGUCGUAAGCGACCCGUCUUGA